UUAGGAAUCUUCCACAAUGGGCGCAAGCCUGAUGGAGCGACACUGCGUGAGGGAAGAAGGCUUUCGGGUUGUAAACCUCUAAAAGUAGGACGAUAAUGACGGUACUACUUGAGAAGCACCGGCUAACUCCGUGCCAGCAGCCGCGGUAAUACGGAGGGUGCAAACGUUAUCCGGAAUCACUGGGCGUAAAGGGCACGCAGGCGGUUAGUUAAGUCCGAUGUUAAAGCGUGGGGCUCAACCCCAUACGGGCGUUGGAUACUGGCUAACUAGACUCUUGGAGAGGUAAGUAGAAUUACCAGUGUAGCGGUGGAAUGCGUAGAUACUGGUAGGAAUACCAAUAGCGAAGGCAGCUUACUAGACAAUGAGUGACGCUGAGGUGCGAAAGUGUGGGGAGCAAACC
Molecule: ribosomal RNA, 400 nt
Filed under: uncultured bacterium
Lineage: Bacteria
Description: bacterial SSU rRNA
Rfam family: Bacterial small subunit ribosomal RNA
Source: RNAcentral